CACAUCUCUUGCGCAAAAGAUGCCAGCACAGACGCUCUCUGACGCAAAGACUUUUAACGGAAAAACUUUUCCGUUAAAAGUAUUUGCGCAAAAUCAUGCCAGUCUAGAUGCAGCCAAAGUGAAAGUUUUUCCAAGCAAUAACCUCUUUUAUUUCCCAACCAGGGUGGCAAGCCUGCUUUCUUACAGCAAUUGACUAGUUCUGGGGAUCUGAAAGAAAAAAAUUCCACAGAAUGAGACAGCAUGACCGGGCUGAUUUUAGGGUGGGCUUUUAAUUAAACCUAUGUCCCUCCCAAGACUAUCACACAUUUGCAAUUAAAAACAGAGAGCUUUUACUGUAAGCUACAUAGCUACACCAGACUAACACGGCUACAUUUCUAUCACUAUUCUUUUCAGUUACCUUACAGCUUGCCCUCUUCUCCCUUACAGCUUUCCUGUGCCUGUAAGCAGAGAUAAGGGAUAAGGGGGGGGAGGGAGAUAAGCUUUUAUCUGGCUAUCCUGAAAGUAUGGGAAUCUGACAUUGGUUUGAAAUACAACAAUGCCCACCAGCUGUACAUCCCGUUUUAACAAACAUCCUGUAUUCCAUCCCUACUCCCAAUUACCCAAGAGUUUCCUUAUCACCCCACACCAUACACCCAAACUUGUUUUAAGAUUUAGCUAUAAAUAGAGAGAGAACUUUUGGCAUGCUAUCGCUGUUCAAAAUUUCGCUAUGGAGGAUGACACGGUGGGCCAGAGGUGGGGCGAGCGGAUACUUUACCAACUAGUGCUGAAUUGUUACAAGCUAUAGACGCCGGACUUUUGCGAGAAGAAAGGGCACAGAAGCCUGUGGAAAGGACCAAGAAAGCCGUCUCCACGGCAGAGAACACUUUCCAGAGUGACAAGAAAGACCAACGCCCCCGAUCUCGAUCUACCCUGCCUGUCCCCAGCCUGUCUCAGACAAAGCGAGCGGGGGUUCAAAAGGGCGAGCGACGCUGUAUCCGGGGUUGGGGGUAAGCAUCGCAAGGGGGGUAGCAAUACCGCCAACCCUCAAAAGAAGUGCUCUGUAAAAGGGGUCAAUAAGCCCCCAGCCGCCCCCUGGCAUGGGGUCAGGGAGAGCCCCUGGGCCGAAGUUUGUGGUGCCAAGAAGCCUAGAGACAGGGAUCUAAGUGACAGCUCGCAAUGCAUCAUUGAAUUAUUCGAUCUUAGUGUGAGACUAAGACACGUUUAUGUGGGUGUGAGGCAGCUGCUGGAGAAAACGUUUCCCAGGCUGGUUCUGGAAGUGAUGCAAAAGCAGAACUUUCCAGAAGACAGCGGGGAUUUAGCCCAAAAGCUGGCAGAAACAAAAAAGAUGAUUGAAAACUUGGAAAACUGGUCAAACGGGGAAGGGCGUCAGUGACUAAGCACGAAAGCUAAAAAGGUACAGAGGGGGUGGGGGGGGAGUGCGGGAGAUCUAACAGACUAAGAAGGCUUUGGGCGAAAAAAACGUAGAAAAGCCAGAGCGGGUUUACGAAAAUGCUCCCCCAGCCCGGAAAGGGAAUCGAACACCUCCCCCCUCCUGAGCCCGGAAAGGGAAUCCCCCAACCCCCACUGCUGAAGCUGUGGAUUCUCCCAACCCCCCUCAGAUGUAUUUAUAAGAACAUAAGAACGGCCGUACUGGGUCAGACCAAAGGUCCAUCUAGCCCAGUCUCCUGUCUGCUGACAGUGG
This is a long non-coding RNA of Pelodiscus sinensis (Chinese soft-shelled turtle), 1681 nucleotides long. RefSeq lists it as uncharacterized. The record is from RefSeq and is a predicted model, not a curated record. Lineage: Eukaryota; Metazoa; Chordata; Testudines; Trionychidae.